Molecule: ribosomal RNA, 484 nt
Filed under: uncultured bacterium
Lineage: Bacteria
Description: partial 16S ribosomal RNA
Rfam family: Bacterial small subunit ribosomal RNA
Source: RNAcentral
AUUGAACGCUGGCGGCAUGCUUUACACAUGCAAGUCGAACGGCAGCGCGGGCUUCGGCCUGGCGGCGAGUGGCGAACGGGUGAGUAAUGCAUUGGAACGUGCCCAGUAGUGGGGGAUAGCCCGGCGAAAGCCGGAUUAAUACCGCAUACGACCUGAGGGUGAAAGCGGGGGACCGAAAGGCCUCGCGCUAUUGGAGCGGCCGAUGUCGGAUUAGCUAGUUGGUGGGGUAAAGGCUUACCAAGGCGACGAUCCGUAGCUGGUCUGAGAGGACGACCAGCCACACUGGGACUGAGACACGGCCCAGACUCCUACGGGAGGCAGCAGUGGGGAAUUUUGGACAAUGGGGGCAACCCUGAUCCAGCCCUGCCGCGUGCGGGAAGGAGGCCUUCGGGUUGUAAAACGCUUUUGUUCGGGAAGAAAUCCUCUGGGCUAAUACCCCGGGGGGAUGACGGUACCGGAAGAAUAAGCACCGGCUAACUACGUG